Non-coding RNA from Pygocentrus nattereri (red-bellied piranha), 1042 nucleotides. The record is from the annotation of a RefSeq genome assembly. Lineage: Eukaryota; Metazoa; Chordata; Actinopteri; Characiformes; Serrasalmidae.
AUCUAGAGGUUUUUGGAUGGUGACUCAGUGGAUUCAUUCCUGCAUUUUUGGAGGAGCAUCAAACCAACAGUGAUGGAACUAAAUGAAGAAUGUGACUAAAAUUUCAAGUUACUAAGGAAAUAAUAUUUAAAAUUACAUUGGCAAAUUUACAGUAGGAAAAGUCAGAGUGGUAGGUUGAAAUAUAGGACUGGUAAUUUCAGCUGAUAAACAGUCUAGUCUUUGUUUGUCGUCUUCUUCUUCUGAAAGUACAGAAUUAAAACACACUGUCAUUUAUUGUUAUAACCAAUGUGAGAAUUAGCAAGAAGGAAGUUUUGGGUAAAUGGAAGAAGAAGCAUUUCUUUUUCCUCAAGAAGACACUUAAUAUCAUAUAAACAGCUAUAAAUAUAUAAUGGAAACAUCAUCUGUGAUGUGUUUGGGUUUUCUGGUUAAUGAAGCUGCUAUAAAUCAUAAAGUAGAUCAUGUGUGUAGCAGGUUUGAGUUGUUCUAGUUAAACAGUGCAGCUUUAGUGCAGGAGGUUUUUGUACAGAUGCUGAAUGAGGUUGUAUCACUGUGGUACACGUUUGGUGGAGGAACUCGACUCUCUGUUGGAAGUGAUGCUCGGCCCACCCUCACAGUGUUGCCCCCCUCCACUGUGGAGCUGCAGCAGGGGAAGGCUACACUAGUGUGUUUGGCCAACAAGGGCUUCCCCUCAGACUGGACGCUGAGCUGGAAGGUGGACGGUAUCAGCCAGACGUCAGGUGUGAGUGUGAGUGGGGGCGUGCUGGAGAAGGGAAACGGCCUCUACAGCUGGAGCAGCACCCUGAGCCUCACUGAGCAGCAGUGGAAGAACAUACAGGCAGUGAGCUGUGAGGCCAGACAGGGCAGUCAAAGCCCAGUCACCCAGAGCCUGACCACACAGCAGUGCUAGUGUUUCUGCUGAUGAGCUGCUCAACAGUUUUUCAGCUCCAUUUCAAAUUUUGUUGUUAUCAGUUCAAAAUCUUAUUCAGUGCCUGAAUGAUGUGCUUUACUAUAUGAUUUCAAAAUAAAGCUUUUUGAAUCAAAA